Molecule: long non-coding RNA, 1157 nt
Filed under: Dromaius novaehollandiae (emu)
Lineage: Eukaryota; Metazoa; Chordata; Aves; Casuariiformes; Dromaiidae
Description: lncRNA (ENSDNVG00000010822.1)
Source: RNAcentral
GUUUCAUGUUUCUUUUCCCUGACAACAUAUAGAGAAAGGAUUAUUGCUCUCUUACUGAAAAUGAUUGAAAAAUUAGAACUGAAUGCAAAUUACUUAUGUUGGAAUCAGAUGUAGACCUGGCAUGGGGCCACCUCAUUCAUCAUUAUCACGUCCUUUUCUUCAUAAAUCAAACUUCAAUUGUUACGAAAUGACCUUUCCAAUGAGAAUGAAAUGCAGGUUGAGAUCCUUGGGACAAGGAUGCUGUUUGUUUUUCUUCUGUGUGAAGCCAGUCCUGGCUCACUACUGGAGCUCUGAAACUGCCAUAAAUACAAAGACUUAGGAAACUCUAAUCUUGAAACAGUGUCUGGCUGAGGUUCUAACUUAUGCACUCAUUUCUCCUGCUGUUGAGGUUUACUUGGACUACAAACAUGAAAUGAAACCAGCUAAGCACGUAGAAAAAAUCAAAGAGUUUGCAUAGUGUAGAUGAAGCUCUGUAGCAUGGAUGUCUCAUUCUCUGCAGGAAGAAAACCUUCAUCUAUGCCUUUCCAAAGAACCAAAGAAGGCAAAAGCAGAGAUGUAGGCUGUGGAAUGAAGUGGAGCUGCAGAAAAGACUUCUCAGAUAAAAAUGUGUAUCUGUUCUGUAUGAAUCUACUCAGAUUACCUGUGUGUGCAAGUGCAUUAAAAGCAAUUGAUUCAUCCAGAAUAGUUGUGAACUGUCUGUGUAACUCAAGCAAAUUAAACUGGAUGCGUUGGAUUAUUUUAUACACAAUGUACAAUUGAUUUAAUCAUUCACAGAGGCCGUUUUGUUGGGAUUUCUGGAUAUCUUGCAGCCUGGUUGGAGAGACUAUUGUCUGCCAGCAACAGCACAGCACCUUCUGAUGUCCUUGUCAAAGCUCUUAAAUUCACCAAAAAUAAGAUUUCCAAGUGGAUAGUUAUAAUUGCUAAAAUCAAGAUGUUCGGAGGCCUUAGAGCAAUGAAUGUAUUGAAGGAAAAUUGAAGAAAUUGAGGCCAAAAACUCUUUCAUGUCUUACUAGUAACAGAGGCAUUUGGAAGAUACUUCAUCUCUCCGUCGAACUCAACCAGGGUCAUGGCAUUUUCUUUUUCAUUUUUUAAUGAAAUUAAAAUUUGGCUUUGCCAUUAAAAAUACAGUUCUUUGGAUUGCCCUUGCAUCUGUUACU